RNAcentral lists this ribosomal RNA (450 nucleotides) under uncultured bacterium. Its description in RNAcentral is "partial 16S ribosomal RNA". It matches the Rfam family "Bacterial small subunit ribosomal RNA", at positions 354 to 796 of the family's 1533-position model. The record is from RNAcentral.
GUGGGGAAUCUUCCGCAAUGGACGAAAGUCUGACGGAGCAACGCCGCGUGAGUGAAGAAGGUUUUCGGAUCGUAAAGCUCUUUCGUUAGGGACGAACGUGCUCUUUGUGAAUAAUGAGGAGUAAUGACGGUACCUAAAUAAGAAGCCACGGCUAACUACGUGCCAGCAGCCGCGGUAAUACGUAGGUGGCAAGCGUUGUCCGGAAUUAUUGGGCGUAAAGCGCGCGCAGGCGGGAUAUCAAGUCUGUCUUAAAAGUGCGAGGCUCAACCUCGUGAGGGGACAGAAACUGGUAUUCUUGAGUGUCGGAGAGGAAAGUGGAAUUCCAAGUGUAGCGGUGAAAUGCGUAGAUAUUAGGAGGAACACCAGUGGCGAAAGCGGCUUUCUGGACGACAACUGACGCUGAGGCGCGAAAGCCAGGGGAGCAAACGGGAUUAGAAACCCUGGUAGUCC